Molecule: ribosomal RNA, 253 nt
Filed under: uncultured bacterium
Lineage: Bacteria
Description: partial 16S ribosomal RNA
Rfam family: Bacterial small subunit ribosomal RNA
Source: RNAcentral
UACGUAGGGUGCGAGCGUUGUCCGGAAUUAUUGGGCGUAAAGAGCUCGUAGGCGGCUUGUCGCGUCGGAUGUGAAAGCCCGGGGCUUAACUCCGGGUCUGCAUUCGAUACGGGCAGGCUAGAGUUCGGUAGGGGAGAUCGGAAUUCCUGGUGUAGCGGCGAAAUGCGCAGAUAUCAGGAGGAACACCGGUGGCGAAGGCGGAUCUCUGGGCCGAUACUGACGCUGAGGAGCGAAAGCGUGGGGAGCGAACAGG